AUACGGAGGGUCCAAGCGUUGUCCGGAAUCAUUGGGUUUAAAGGGUCCGCAGGCGGUCAAUUAAGUCAGAGGUGAAAGCCCAUCGCUCAACGAUGGAACUGCCUUUGAUACUGGUUGACUUGAGUUAUACGGAAGUAGAUAGAAUAAGUAGUGUAGCGGUGAAAUGCAUAGAUAUUACUUAGAAUACCGAUUGCGAAGGCAGUCUACUACGUAUAUACUGACGCUGAGGGACGAAAGCGUAGGGAGCGAACGGGAGUAGAUACCCCAGUAGUCC
RNAcentral lists this ribosomal RNA (274 nucleotides) under uncultured bacterium. RNAcentral's name for it is "partial 16S ribosomal RNA". It matches the Rfam family "Bacterial small subunit ribosomal RNA", at positions 523 to 796 of the family's 1533-position model. The record is from RNAcentral.